UACGUAGGGGGCUAGCGUUGUCCGGAAUCAUUGGGCGUAAAGCGCGUGUAGGCGGUUCGGUAAGUCCGCUGUGAAAGUCGGGGGCUCAACCCUCGAAUGCCGGUGGAUACUGUCGGACUAGAGUACGGAAGAGGCGAGUGGAAUUCCUGGUGUAGCGGUGAAAUGCGCAGAUAUCAGGAGGAACACCAAUAGCGAAGGCAGCUCGCUGGGACGGUACUGACGCUAAGGCGCGAAAGCGUGGGGAGCGAACAGG
RNAcentral lists this ribosomal RNA (253 nucleotides) under uncultured bacterium. RNAcentral describes it as "partial 16S ribosomal RNA". It matches the Rfam family "Bacterial small subunit ribosomal RNA", at positions 524 to 776 of the family's 1533-position model. The record is from RNAcentral.